CGCUGGCGGCGUGCCUAAUACAUGCAAGUCGAACGGUCUUUCUAUGGAAGCUUGCUUCCACUGAGAAGAUAGUGGCGAACGGGUGAGUAACACGUGGGUAACCUGCCCAUAAGAGGGGGGAUAACAUCCGGAAACGGGUGCUAAUACCGCAUAGUUUUCUUGAUCGCAUGAUUGAGAAAGGAAAGACGGCCUUUGUGCUGUCGCUUAUGGAUGGACCCGCGGCGUAUUAGUUAGUUGGUGAGGUAACGGCUCACCAAGACGAUGAUACGUAGCCGACCUGAGAGGGUGAUCGGCCACAUUGGGACUGAGACACGGCCCAAACUCCUACGGGAGGCAGCAGUAGGGAAUCUUCCGCAAUGGACGAAAGUCUGACGGAGCAACGCCGCGUGAGUGAAGAAAAGGUUUUCGGAUCGUAAAACUCUGUUGUCAGAGAAGAACAAGUUGGAGAGUAACUGCUCCAGCCUUGACGGUAUCUGACCAGAAAGCCACGGCUAACUACGUGCCAGCCGCAGC
This 513-nucleotide ribosomal RNA is filed under the name uncultured bacterium. RNAcentral describes it as "bacterial SSU rRNA". It matches the Rfam family "Bacterial small subunit ribosomal RNA", at positions 34 to 518 of the family's 1533-position model. The record is from RNAcentral.